This 463-nucleotide ribosomal RNA is filed under the name uncultured bacterium. RNAcentral describes it as "partial 16S ribosomal RNA". It matches the Rfam family "Bacterial small subunit ribosomal RNA", at positions 28 to 507 of the family's 1533-position model. The record is from RNAcentral.
GACGAACGCUGGCGGCGUGCUUAACACAUGCAAGUCGAGCGGAAAGGCCACUUCGGUGGUACUCGAGCGGCGAACGGGUGAGUAACACGUGAGUAAUCUGCCCCUCACUUUGGGAUAGCCACCGGAAACGGUGAUUAAUACCGGAUAUGACCAUAUGUCGCAUGGCGUGUGGUGGAAAGUUUUUCGGUGAGGGAUGUGCUCGCGGCCUAUCAGCUUGAUGGUGGGGUAAUGGCUCACCAUGGCUUCGACGGGUAGCCGGCCUGAGAGGGUGACCGGUCACACUGGGACUGAGACACGGCCCAGACUCCUACGGGAGGCAGCAGUGGGGAAUAUUGGACAAUGGGCGGAAGCCUGAUCCAGCAACGCCGCGUGAGGGAUGACGGCCUUCGGGUUGUAAACCUCUUUCAGUACCGACGAAGCGCAAGUGACGGUAGGUACAGAAGAAGCACCGGCCAACUACGUG